CCAUCCGCCAGAGGACUACAAGUGAAAAACUCAAAACUCUAAGGACUUGACGGUGCCCCACACCAACCUAGAGGAGCCUGUCCUGUAAUCGAUACUCCGCGUUAAACCUCUCCCCCCCUAGCACCAAAUCAGCCUAUAUACCGCCGUCGCCAGCCUGCCUAGUGAUAGUCCCCCAAAGCAAGCAAAACAGCCACCCCGCUAAUACGUCAGGUCAAGGUGUAGCCAACGGGCGGGCCAGAGAUGGGCUACAUUUUCUUCCUACCAGAAAACACUAGAAGCGACAUGAAAUCUGCGCCACACGGCGGAUUUAGCAGUAAACCGGGCAAGAAGCGCCCAGUUGAAGAACGCCCUGGGGCGCGUACACACCGCCCGUCACCCUCCUCAACAAACUUAUUACCCCACUAGAUAAAACCAAACCACCACCACAGAUGAGGCAAGUCGUAACAUGGUAAGCUCACCGGAAGGUGAGCUUGGCACACCCCCCC
This 485-nucleotide ribosomal RNA is filed under the name Phyllodactylus leei (Chatham leaf-toed gecko). RNAcentral describes it as "partial 12S ribosomal RNA". It matches the Rfam family "Bacterial small subunit ribosomal RNA", at positions 865 to 1533 of the family's 1533-position model. Lineage: Eukaryota; Metazoa; Chordata; Lepidosauria; Squamata; Phyllodactylidae. The record is from RNAcentral.